GAUGAACGCUGGCGGCGUGCCUAAUACAUGCAAGUCGAGCGAACGGACGAGAAGCUUGCUUUUCUGAUGUUAGCGGCGGACGGGUGAGUAACACGUGGAUAACCUACCUAUAAGACUGGGAUAACUUCGUGAAACCGGAGCUAAUACCGGAUAAUAUUUUGAACCGCAUGGUUCAAAAGUGAAAGACGGUCUUGCUGUCACUUAUAGAUGGAUCCGCGCUGCAUUAGCUAGUUGGUAAGGUAACGGCUUACCAAGGCAACGAUGCAUAGCCGACCUGAGAGGGUGAUGGGCCACACUGGAACUGAGACACGGUCCAGACUCCGACGGGAGGCAGCAGUAGGGAAUCUUCCGAAAUGGGCGAAAGCCUGACGGAGCAACGCCGCGUGAGUGAUGAAGGUCUUCGGAUCGUAAAACUCUGUUAUUAGGGAAGAACAUAUGUGUAAGUAACUGUGCACAUCUUGACGGUACCUAAUCAGAAAGCCACGGCUAACUACGUG
RNAcentral lists this ribosomal RNA (497 nucleotides) under uncultured bacterium. RNAcentral describes it as "partial 16S ribosomal RNA". It matches the Rfam family "Bacterial small subunit ribosomal RNA", at positions 28 to 507 of the family's 1533-position model. The record is from RNAcentral.